Molecule: transfer RNA, 84 nt
Filed under: Junco hyemalis (dark-eyed junco)
Lineage: Eukaryota; Metazoa; Chordata; Aves; Passeriformes; Passerellidae
Rfam family: tRNA
About the family: Transfer RNA (tRNA) molecules are approximately 80 nucleotides in length. Their secondary structure includes four short double-helical elements and three loops (D, anti-codon, and T loops).
Source: Rfam by way of RNAcentral
GGGCUCAUGGCGGAAUUGGUAUACGCGUUAGAUUCAGGGUCUAAUAGGAUUCGUCCUGUGAGAGUUCAAGUCUCUCUGAGCCCA